This 24-nucleotide non-coding RNA is filed under the name Drosophila melanogaster (fruit fly). Lineage: Eukaryota; Metazoa; Arthropoda; Insecta; Diptera; Drosophilidae. The record is from RNAcentral.
UCCAACUGAAGGAGUACGAAUGAU